RNAcentral lists this ribosomal RNA (1245 nucleotides) under metagenome. RNAcentral describes it as "bacterial SSU rRNA". It matches the Rfam family "Bacterial small subunit ribosomal RNA", at positions 261 to 1498 of the family's 1533-position model. The record is from RNAcentral.
CGGCCUACCAAGGCUACGAUGGGUAGCUGGUCUGAGAGGAUGGUCAGCCACACUGGGACUGAGAUACGGCCCAGACUCCUACGGGAGGCAGCAGUCGAGAGGCUUCGGCAAUGGGCGAAAGCCUGACCGAGCGACGCCGCGUGAGCGAUGAAGGCCGUAAGGUCGUAAAGCUCUGUUAGCGGGGAAGAAACACUAUAUCGUUAAUAGCGGUAUGGUUUGACGUUACCCGCAAAGAAAGCUCCGGCUAACUCCGUGCCAGCAGCCGCGGUAAUACGGGGGGAGCGAACGUUGUUCGGAAUCACUGGGCGUAAAGGGCGCGCAGGCGGCCCGGUAAGUGAGACGUGAAAGCCCCUGGCUCAACCAGGGAACGGCGUCUCAUACUGUCGGGCUUGAGGUCGGGAGAGGAGACGGGAAUUCUCGGUGUAGCGGUGAAAUGCACUGAUAUCGGGAAGAACACCAGUUGCGAAGGCGCGUCUCUGGCCCGAACCUGACGCUCAGGCGCGAAAGCUGGGGGAGCAAACAGGAUUAGAGACCCUGGUAGUCCCAGCUGUAAACGGUGGGCACUAGGUGUGGGGGGCAUCGACCCCUUCCGUGCCGUAGCUAACGCAUUAAGUGCCCCGCCUGGGGAGUACGACCGCAAGGUUGAAACUCAAAGGAAUUGACGGGGGCCCGCACAAGCGGUGGAGCAUGUGGUUUAAUUCGAUGCAACGCGAAGAACCUUACCUGGGCUUGAUAUGCACUGGACAGGUGUGGAAACACACUUUCCCUUCGGGGUCGGUGCACAGGUGCUGCAUGGCUGUCGUCAGCUCGUGUCGUGAGAUGUUGGGUUAAGUCCCGCAACGAGCGCAACCCUUGCCCUUAGUUGCCAGCACUUCGGGUGGGCACUCUAGGGGGACUGCCGCCGAUGAGGCGGAGGAAGGUGGGGAUGACGUCAAGUCCUCAUGGUCCUUAUGUCCAGGGCUACACACGUGCUACAAUGGCCGGUACAGAGGGUUGCGAUGCCGCGAGGUGGAGCUAAUCCCAAAAAGCCGGUCUCAGUUCGGGUUGCAGUCUGCAACUCGACUGCAUGAAGCUGGAAUCGCUAGUAAUCGCUGAUCAGCAGGCAGCGGUGAAUAUGUUCCCGGGCCUUGUACACACCGCCCGUCAAGCCACGAAAGUCGGCAGUACCCGAAGUCGCUGACCCAACCGUAAGGAGGGACGCGCCGAAGGUAAGGCUGGCGAUUGGGGCUAAGUCGUAACAAGGUA